GCCUCGCAGCGUCAGUAAAGAGGUGGAACAAGAAAUGCUCGCAAACUUUCAAAGAAUAAUUUUUUCCGUCGUAGUCAGCGAUUUCAUAGUUUUUGCCGUCUUCUUCUCGCGGGCGCCUAAACAUUACCCUGAAAUUUACCUCGAGCUGCAAUAUUUUCUGAUGUCGCCAGUCACGAAAGUUCCAUUACGUCACGCAGCGAAAGAGCUCUGGUUUGUCACAUUGCGUCUUGCUGACUAGGAUUUCGCGAUUCUGGAUCCAGAGCCUUACCUUGUAUCGGUUAAUCCAACUGCCAAACUCCACAUGAUGGGAGCGUCUGCUACAACCCCGUCAGCCUACGUAAAGCGGCUGAUAAACGCUGCGCUUGCUUUACGGGAUCGUCGACGCACUUUCACAAGGAUGAUGAAUCCGAUUAUCGGCAAAGCACUAUUUCUCACUCUUGGCACGAGUAUGUGGUUGUGGAUGCAAGCCUACGUCAAACUGCAGAUUGCAAUUCACGGUGAACAUGUUUUGAAGCCUCUCAAUCGGACAGUACCGAAUGACUUCUACAGUGACUCCUUCGGACAACACGAGUACGCAGAACUAACGAAUAUUACCAUGCAUUAUGUGACAAAAGGCUGUGAUGUUGAGAAGCGUCCUGUUGUUCUUCUCUUGGGCAUGGAUUUCUCGAUUUUUGGUACAUCUGGAACAGGCAGAUCCCAACGCUUGCAGAUGAUUUCUGCGUUGUAGCGCCGGAUCUACGCGGCUACGGCAAUACUUCACGACCAAAGGACAGCGCGCAGUACCUGAUGGCGAACCUCAUUGAGGAUGUCAAAGGACUACUUGACAAAAUAAAUCCUCAACACAAGAAAAAUGUCGUACUUGUCGGGCAUGACUGGGGUGGCAUGAUCGCCUUCUGCUUCGCAACGGUAGUACGAAAAGAUGAUCGACAAGAUGGUAAUCAUCAAUGGCGUGCAUCCUCUCGCUUACACGAAGCAGCUUUUCCGAAGUCUCAAUCAGAUGAGGAUGUCCUGGUUCACGAUUCCUUUUCUACACCCCGUUGUUCCGGAGCAGUACCUGAUGCUAAAAGACUUCGGGUUUUUUGACAAGGUGCACAAGACUUUCACUGCCAGUGAGAAACACGCUCACAAAUAUGUGUUUUCACAGCAAGGUGCACUUACCGGGGCUCUAAACUACUACCGCUCCUUUAACAACGACAGCGGCGAGCUUCAGAGACUACCCUACCGAAAGAUCAAUGUAUCCACGCUGAUUCUCUGGGGAGAGAAAGACGAAUUUUUUACCAGGCGCAUCGCGUCGUACAACCAAGAAUGGCUGAAGAAUUCAGAGUUGGUGUACUAUCCUCGAGCGGGCCACUGGCUCACACGGGAUUGUUCCGAACAAGUCACAACAAGGAUCCGCUGGUUUGUGCAAAAUACGGUACCAAGAAUUACCCCAAGUACACCGAUGGACAGAAAAAGUCAGCUUCAAUGCAAAGAAUCAAUGACGCCAUCGACGCCAGGGUUGCCACUGACUUUCGAGUAAAUGUCGCCAAACAACGAGCAGAAAGUCGCCAAAAGUCGCCAUUUUUUUAGAAAUUUCGCCAAAAAAGUCGCCAUUCUAGAUGUGUGCGGCAUAUCCUAGUAAUAGAAAUUUCCACUGAUGUAUAGCCCCGUAGAAUACAGUGUCAUUCAAAGCCCUUAAAGUAUAUUGACAUUUCUCAAUGCCAGGCGCAUCGCCCCUUCACCAUGGGAGUGCUGGGUGUACCUGGUUCUCCGACUAGCCGCAAGAUGUGCGC
Molecule: long non-coding RNA, 1772 nt
Organism: Rhipicephalus sanguineus (brown dog tick)
Lineage: Eukaryota; Metazoa; Arthropoda; Arachnida; Ixodida; Ixodidae
Exons: 8
Source: RefSeq, a predicted model, not a curated record